UACGUAGGGUGCAAGCGUUGUCCGGAAUUAUUGGGCGUAAAGAGCUCGUAGGCGGUCUGUCGCGUCGGCUGUGAAAUCCCGGAGCUCAACUCCGGGUCUGCAGUCGAUACGGGCAAACUGGAGUACUGCAGGGGAGACUGGAAUUCCUGGUGUAGCGGUGAAAUGCGCAGAUAUCAGGAGGAACACCGGUGGCGAAGGCGGGUCUCUGGGCAGUAACUGACGCUGAGGACGAAGAACGUGGGGAGCGAACAGGAUUAGAACCUACCGUAGU
Molecule: ribosomal RNA, 271 nt
Filed under: uncultured bacterium
Lineage: Bacteria
Description: partial 16S ribosomal RNA
Rfam family: Bacterial small subunit ribosomal RNA
Source: RNAcentral